CCAUUUUCGAGCUAACUAAGCUAAUUAUGUCAUUUAGGUGGAAGCCAAGCUAAGUAUAGGUCAUUCUAGAGCUAACUUGGGUAAAAUAUGUCAUUUUGGAGACAACUAUGAUUAUUAAGGCAUUUUCGAGCUAAAUUGGGUAAUUAUGUCAUUUAGGAGGAGGAGGAGGAGGAGAAGGAGAAGGAGACCAUUAUGGAGCUAACUUGGUAUAAAUAUGUCAUUUUGGAGCUAAGUAUGCUUAAUAAACC
Molecule: long non-coding RNA, 248 nt
Filed under: Hordeum vulgare
Lineage: Eukaryota; Viridiplantae; Streptophyta; Magnoliopsida; Poales; Poaceae
Description: long non-coding RNA (HVUL_LNC012179)
Source: RNAcentral